Molecule: ribosomal RNA, 614 nt
Filed under: Clavactinia serrata
Lineage: Eukaryota; Metazoa; Cnidaria; Hydrozoa; Anthoathecata; Hydractiniidae
Description: partial 16S ribosomal RNA
Rfam family: Bacterial large subunit ribosomal RNA
Source: RNAcentral
CAAAAACAUAGCCCCCGAAAAAAUCGGAGGUGUAACCUGCCCAAUGGUUUUCAACUAAAUAAAUAUAAAAAAUUUAAAAGAAAACUUAAAGGACGCAGUAACCUGACUGUGGUAAUGUAGCAUAAUCAUUCGCCAUUUAAUUGAUGGAUAGUAUGAACGGUUAAACGAAUUCUUCACUGUCUUAAAAAGAGAAAUCAUGAAAUUAAAAUAAUAGUUAAGAUGCUAUUUAAAAUUGUAAGACGAAAAGACCCUAUAGAGCUUAACUACAAUCUCUUUCACAAUCAAAAAAUCAAACUUUUAAAAAAAGAGAGAUAGGUAGUUUAGUUGGGGCGACUAUCUUCUAAAAAUAACGAAGACAAGCAAUGUUAAUAAAAAACUUAUUGUAUAAUUAAUAAAUUUAACAAUUACAAAAGUAGGCUAUAAUGACCCGUUAUUAUUAAAUAAUAAAAAUAACGAUUAAUAAAUAAAAGCUACCUUAGGGAUAACAGGAUAAUUUUGUUUUAGAGAUCCUAUCGAAAACAAAGUUUGUCACCUCUAUGUUGAAUUAAGAUACCCUGAUAAUGCAGAAGUUAUCAAAGGUUGGUCUGUUCGACCAUUAAAAUCUUACAUGAUUU